This is a long non-coding RNA of Lolium perenne, 1065 nucleotides long. RefSeq lists it as uncharacterized. The record is from RefSeq and is a predicted model, not a curated record. Lineage: Eukaryota; Viridiplantae; Streptophyta; Magnoliopsida; Poales; Poaceae.
AAAAAGUUCAGCUUACUAAGCAUUCCAGCAAUUGGUGAAGCUGUGGGCAGUGGUCGAUAUUUACUUUUGUGCAACCUGCAUCAGGACUAUCUAGCAGUGAGAAGGAACUUUGACUUUAUGUCUGAGUUUUCUACCUCUUCUUUUUGAAGGAAAUUUCUGUUUGGUUACCUUUGCUUGGAUCAUCUGAAUUUUCUUGCAGUUAUUUUCUAUAGGGCUGCUCUUCAUGGUCGUUGGUAAGUUCAUUCAGUUCUUAUACUCUUUGUUUUUGCCUGGUUUCUCUCCUUAUUUGCAUGUUUCCUUUCGAUCUGACAUACUAAUUGCCUCGCUUGGUGCAUCUACAUCUCUGUACUAAUGACAUAUAACUCCCUGCAGGUUACAGUGGCAAUGGAUACUUCUUCAGUUAAAGAUGUCUCGCGGUGAGGCCAUCAAUGGAAGAUCCUCGCGCACGCCGCCCGGUUUAUGCGGAUACAGAGAUAAAGAAGAUUGCAUCAUCGUCAUCUGCUGAGGUUGUAUGCUCCCGAAUUGCUGAUGUGGCCGCACUCUGGAUACACACCAGCGCCAAAAGCUAUCAGAUUUAUGGAAAUAGUUUUUCUGCCUGUGUAGGGCGUUGAGUUUUCAGUUAAGUGUAUCUUUGCCUACUUUUACUCAUGUCCGUGGGUUGUGGUCACACUGUUGGCCAGCUGAUGUAUGUAUGCCACUCUUUCUUCUAAUAAUAUAGUGAUCUAUGCAAGCCUUAUGAGUAUUUGGAACUUUUUUUCAGAAAAGACACCAAGCAGACGACUUAGGUAUCAGCAAACUGUCUGAAUCUUCAUACAACAGAACAAGGUUCAUGUGAUGUAAAAACUGCUGCGCCUCUAUAGCAAGCGCUUACACUGAGUUCGGCCAUUAGAAGAUUGAUUGCCAGCAAUAUAUUUUUCAAUUGGUUCUCAUGAUACAACAAACAAAAAUUAAGCGAGAGACGCCAGCCACCACAGAGUAUCACAUUAUUCAGUUAUAACAAGCAACUAGACAAAUGUCAAGUCCAUACAGUUUGCACUUCUAUAUGGCUAUGCCUUCCCAAGAUUC